UGACUACUAGUUUCCCACAGGAGAAAUUUG
RNAcentral lists this non-coding RNA (30 nucleotides) under Rattus norvegicus (Norway rat). Lineage: Eukaryota; Metazoa; Chordata; Mammalia; Rodentia; Muridae. The record is from RNAcentral.